GAUGAACGCUGGCGGCGUGCCUAAUACAUGCAAGUCGAGCGAACGGACGAGAAGCUUGCUUCUCUGAUGUUAGCGGCGGACGGGUGAGUAACACGUGGAUAACCUACCUAUAAGACUGGGAUAACUUCGGGAAACCGGAGCUACUACCGGAUAAUAUUUUGAACCGCAUGGUUCAAAAGUGAAAGACGGUCUUGCUGUCACUUAUAGAUGGAUCCGCGCUGCAUUAGCUAGUUGGUAAGGUAACGGCUUACCAAGGCAACGAUGCAUAGCCGACCUGAGAGGGUGAUCGGCCACACUGGAACUGAGACACGGUCCAGACUCCUACGGGAGGCAGCAGUAGGGAAUCUUCCGCAAUGGGCGAAAGCCUGACGGAGCAACGCCGCGUGAGUGAUGAAGGUCUUCGGAUCGUAAAACUCUGUUAUUAGGGAAGAACAUAUGUGUAAGUAACUGUGCACAUCUUGACGGUACCUAAACAGAAAGCCACGGCUAACUACGUG
RNAcentral lists this ribosomal RNA (497 nucleotides) under uncultured bacterium. RNAcentral's name for it is "partial 16S ribosomal RNA". It matches the Rfam family "Bacterial small subunit ribosomal RNA", at positions 28 to 507 of the family's 1533-position model. The record is from RNAcentral.